This 73-nucleotide ribosomal RNA is filed under the name Gemmiger formicilis. RNAcentral's name for it is "partial 16S ribosomal RNA". It matches the Rfam family "Bacterial small subunit ribosomal RNA", at positions 1 to 72 of the family's 1533-position model. Lineage: Bacteria; Bacillati; Bacillota; Clostridia; Eubacteriales; Oscillospiraceae. The record is from RNAcentral.
UUUACUAAAGAGUUUGAUCCUGGCUCAGGACGAACGCUGGCGGCGCGCCUAACACAUGCAAGUCGAACGGAGU